Molecule: ribosomal RNA, 155 nt
Filed under: uncultured bacterium
Lineage: Bacteria
Description: partial 16S ribosomal RNA
Rfam family: Bacterial small subunit ribosomal RNA
Source: RNAcentral
UGAGGAAUAUUGGACAAUGGGCGCAAGCCUGAUCCAGCCAUGCCGCGUGCAGGAUGACGGUCCUAUGGAUUGUAAACUGCUUUUAUACAGGAAGAAACACUACUUCGUGAAGUAGCUUGACGGUACUGUAAGAAUAAGGAUCGGCUAACUCCGUG